Molecule: long non-coding RNA, 210 nt
Filed under: Elaeis guineensis (African oil palm)
Lineage: Eukaryota; Viridiplantae; Streptophyta; Magnoliopsida; Arecales; Arecaceae
Description: long non-coding RNA (EGUI_LNC005876)
Source: RNAcentral
GGUACUAUUGCUAGAUGGUCACUUCGAUUAGUACAGGAAUUGGUUCCUGUGCUACCGACUUAGGUUCGAACCUGCGGGGUCACACACAUUAGAGGUUCCUAUCUGAUCUGAUGGCUGAUGAAGAGUCUUAAUGCUUGUGGACUAUGAGUCCUACAUGUCUGAGACUCUGUGAUCAAAAAUUAAGAUUCUCUGAUCAUGAGUCCCACACAU